UACGAAGGGGGCUAGCGUUGUUCGGAAUCACUGGGCGUAAAGCGCACGCAGGCGGAUUGAUAAGUCAGGGGUGAAAUCCCGGAGCUCAACUUCGAAAUUGCCUUUGAUACUGUCUGUCUUGAGUCCGGGAGAGGUGAGUGGAAUUCCUAGUGUAGAGGUGAAAUUCGUAGAUAUUAGGAAGAACACCAGUGGCGAAGGCGGCUCACUGGCCCGGUACUGACGCUCAUGUGCGAAAGCGUGGGGAGCAAACAGG
RNAcentral lists this ribosomal RNA (253 nucleotides) under uncultured bacterium. RNAcentral's name for it is "partial 16S ribosomal RNA". It matches the Rfam family "Bacterial small subunit ribosomal RNA", at positions 524 to 776 of the family's 1533-position model. The record is from RNAcentral.